CCUGUCCCUGGAAGUGUCACAGGUACGGCAGCUGUGCCAUGUGUGUCAGUGUGUGGCAGAGAGGAGAGAGGCUAUGUCUGCUCUCAGUGUUCUGGCCUGUGAACAUCUGAAUGAUUAGUAGCCUAACAUU
Small nucleolar RNA from Meriones unguiculatus (Mongolian gerbil), 130 nucleotides. The record is from Ensembl. Lineage: Eukaryota; Metazoa; Chordata; Mammalia; Rodentia; Muridae.